AGAGUUUGAUCCUGGCUCAGGAUGAACGCUAGCGGCAGGCCUAAUACAUGCAAGUCGAACGGGAUAGGCUCCUUCGGGGGCCUUGAGAGUGGCGCACGGGUGCGCAACGCGUAUGCAACCAACCCCCGACGGGCGGAUAGCCGGUGGAAACGCCGGAUAAUACGCCAUGGUUCCGGUGGAGGGCAUCCUCUACUGGAUAAAGCUACGGCGGUCGGGGACGGGCAUGCGUCCCAUUAGAUGGUAGGCGGGGUGACGGCCCACCUAGUCCGCGAUGGGUAGGGGAUCUGAGAGGACGGUCCCCCACACUGGUACUGAGACACGGACCAGACUCCUGCGGGAGGCAGCAGUAAGGGAUAUUGGUCAAUGGGCGGAAGCCUGAACCAGCCAUGCCGCGUGAGGGAAUGAGGCCCUACGGGUCGUGAACCUCUUUUAUUCGGGGACAAGGACGCGGUCGGGAACCGUGUUUGAGGGUACCGAAGGAAUAAGCGUCGGCUAACUCCGUGCC
Molecule: ribosomal RNA, 505 nt
Filed under: uncultured organism
Description: SSU rRNA
Rfam family: Bacterial small subunit ribosomal RNA
Source: RNAcentral